UACGAAGGGUGCAAACGUUGCUCGGAAUUAUUGGGCGUAAAGCGCACGUAGGCGGCUUGGCAAGUCGGAUGUGAAAUCCCUCGGCUCAACCAAGGAAGUGCAUCCGAAACUGCUGAGCUUGAGUACUUAAGAGGAUCGCGGAAUUCCCGGUGUAGAGGUGAAAUUCGUAGAGAUGGGGGAGAACACUCGUGGCGAAGGCGGCCAGCUAGACCAGUUCUGACACUGAGGCGCGACAGCGUGGGGAGCAAACAGG
RNAcentral lists this ribosomal RNA (253 nucleotides) under uncultured bacterium. Its description in RNAcentral is "partial 16S ribosomal RNA". It matches the Rfam family "Bacterial small subunit ribosomal RNA", at positions 524 to 776 of the family's 1533-position model. The record is from RNAcentral.